ACUCAGGUGCAUGCAGUGUACUUGAGUGACUAGAAAUGGUGAAGCCAGGAUCCACCCCUUCCCAGACCUCACUUAAGGGUUGGCAGUGGUGGCAAAAGAGUCUUGCUAGAGAUCCUUGCAUACCUGGGGCCUUCAGAAGUGCCUUGGGAUUUGCUGUCAGAUGCCUGUAGCUGCCUCGUGCCCCUACAUCCACAAGCAGCAGCAGCAGCAGCCGCCACCCUUUAUUUCUCUUCUUCUCUGCAUCUAUUUUGGAGCUGACCAAGAAUUUUGGACCUCUAGCUAAAUGAAAUGUUUGGCCUAUGUCGCAGAGGAGGUUGCAUUGUGUGAUUGAACGAUCUCUGUGGCCCUCGUGAAAAUUCACACCUCGAGCUGUCAGGGAUCAGAAAAAUUGAAUGUUAUUCAAGUCCUGGAACUGUUACAUGAGUUGAAUCUGUGCACUACCAAACACUACGCUCUUCCAGAGAAGAGCAGAGGAUGGCAUGAGCAUGAACUUUCUUUUCUUGGGUUUUAUAAGGAAAAAACUUAUUAACUUCUAAGAUAUUUGUCUAGAGGAAAAGAAAAUGAUUGGAAGACAAACAGCUUUGCAAGAAAUGAGGUAGUCUGCUCCGGAUUUGAUUUAGGCUUUACAUCUGGACAGCUGACAAGUUUCAGAUGAAGCUGACCUCACACAUUCCUGGCCAUAUCAAAACCAACUCUAAUUUGGAGAAACCCAGAAGAAAAAUAUCUUUCUGUACAGUACUUUUUCCCAGAUAAUUUCAUUCCCUUAUUUAACACAAUGACUUUGAAUUACAUAGGCCUCUUCCAUAACCAGUUACCACAAAAGUGUGUUCAGAGACAUGCAGUAACAGCAGAACCAGAAGAAACCCUGCAGAUAUGUUUUGAGAAAAUAUUGUCAGAACUCUUCAGGCAAAUGUUGAGCACUUGGUUAUCUGUAUGCGUUAGCUGGGCUGCCUCUUUCCUCUCUUGUUAAAGAUCUGAAUCUCUCCAUCAAUUUAAGUCAUUCUCAGACUCUUCUUAGAUGGCCAGCAAACUGAAGAGCAGCAGAUUUCCUUCCAUCUAAGAGACUAAAUGCAUGCUGUUUAGAAGAAGAAAAGAAUGAAGACUUUACUGUGAGCUGCCUGAAACCUGACCCAUUUGUUCCUUCGGUUGAGUUCUGCAUCACCUCUGCCUGAAUCAUAGAAUAACAAGGUCGGAAAUGACCUACAAGAUCAUCUAGUCCAACUAUCUCCUCAUCACCAUUGCCACCACUGGCACUAAAACACGUUUCCUGCAGGGAGGUGGCCUUCUGACUAUGGUUUUGUCUGACUUGCUUUCCAGAAAGAGUUGAAAAUUACAGCAUUGACUAUGUUAAAAUUUGUGCCACUGGUAAUAGAUGAAUAUUUUCUUCAUGGAAGUUAUUUUUUUUCUUAAUUAAAUAGAUUUCAGUGAAAAGCUGUACUUCCAAGGAAGCCUUGAACGCUGAGGGGUAUGUGUAUUUUGAAAACAUUAACUAAGGCCAAGUAUGGAUUGUUUCCUGUGUCCCUUACCCUUGAGAUAAUGGAAAAUCACUUCUGCAGCUGUAUGCCAGUAUUACUGUGAACUCUUAAUGGGGGUGGUGCUUGCUACCUUUCAGGUAGGACUUGCAGCCUGCCUCUUUCCUUGUUUGGACAUAACAGUGAUGGACCAGAUUUUUCUGGGUGCAGGGACCUGGCCUUCAGCUUGCGCCAAAGAUGCAAUGGAAGAAUGCCCUUCAGCAACAUGCAGGUCUGAGAGAUGCCAAGUGUUCACUGUAUUCUGCUGACAACCCCUGGUGCCAUUACCAAGCAAGUGCCAUGAAUGCCACCGGAAGACCUGCCUUUGUUAGACUUGUUCCUGCAAGCCAGUGUUGAGUGAUUGAAAUGCAGGAUCAAAACACUAAAAGUUCUUUACAAGCACUUCUGCUUGACCAAGAGAAAACAGAAGGAGGAAAACCCUGUUAUGAGGCUCCACAGCUGUGAGAGGUGUGUGUGAAGGGCAGAAGUGUCUUGUAGAACAAAGAAUGUUUUAGCGCCUGUGGUAGUGUUCCUGGCAAACUCACAAACCCAGGCAACAUCUUUAGGAAUUCUUGCCUGUUAAUGAUUGAAUUAGUAAGAUCUGAUCUGCAAGUCACUCCCCAGGAAGAGAAGUAGAACAUGGACACUCACUGAAUGGUUGUUUAUCUUGCCUAAGCUGAAAAAGGAGAGCUAAAAGAUGUGGAUCUGCACAGAAAAUAGAAGUCCAGAGAACAAUGAGGCCAUGCUCUGAUGAACAGCUGUAACAAAUGUGCACAAUGGAUAUGCCAGCUGAAAAAUUUUGGGAUGGUGUAAGGUGUGGUUAUAGGCAGAUCUAUUUUCCCUUGGACUGUUUGUUAACAUCAUAUGAUAAUGGUAGUUUUGUGCUGGCUUGAAUUAUGUAUGUGUUUUGUCAUAGAUUGUCUGGUGUAUAGUCUGUUCCCUUAUGGGGAUUUUUGGGUCAGUUCUCUUGGUGGUUCAGCUUCUGUUUCUCAGAUCAAUUACUGUCUCAGGAAAAAGCUUUUGUAAGCAAUGUUAGAACCAGUAAUUAUUCUCAUUUUGUCAUUGUGAAAGUAGUGUUCAUCUUUACCCUCCUCCCAAAAACUAUUGGUGAAUGCUGCCACAAAGCCACAGUGUAGAUCUUUGUCAUUGCUAAGCUUCUGACAGCCUCUGUCUGUAGAAAAAAAAUGUGUGGCUUACCACUGACUUUAUUUGGUGUUAGGCUUCAUGCGGUAUUCAGGUAUUGCAGAGAUACCAUGCUGGAUUAAAUUCCAGAUGAAGUCUUGCUGAUACUCAGACACAAAAUAAGUCCUGCAGCCUGCUGAUGGUACCCAAGAUCAUGGAACCUGUUGUGCAGAACAUGGGCUGGAGUGGUUGGGUCCAUGAAGCAGAGAUAAGUAAAGGUAUUGGAGAGGUGAGGAUGACUGCUUCAGGGAUCUUGUUAUGGUGAUACAUCUCACAUAGCCUUCAAUAUUUUCUCACCUCAUGCUGCUCCCUUUUGAUGUAUGUUUGCAAGAGCUCAGGGCACUUGUCACAGGGCCCUGAUUCAUGAUAGCCACAGAAUGAUUCAUCCUCAUGGUCUGAGAAGGUGGCUUCCAGACUGUUCUCUGUAGCUGUAGAUCAUCCACCAGUAGUCACCAAGCUUUGGCUUUAUUCCUGAAGUGAGAAAAUAAAAUCUGUUAUCUUCUCCCAAUCAGCUCUAAGUUUUAUCGAUUCACUCAAAGAGCCGUGGUUAUCUGCUUGGACACCUUUUGUAGUGGCUAGUACUUAAUGAAUGGUCUUGAGCAGUGCUGGUCCUGCAUGGAGUAUGUGUGGGGAAAAAUGAAUGCUGCUUUUCUGGAACAUGUAUGAGUUUGGUAAAGCUUUAGUGAUCCUGGACCUCUUGUGUGAGCAAGAUGG
Lagopus muta (rock ptarmigan) is the source of this 3407-nucleotide long non-coding RNA. RefSeq lists it as uncharacterized. NCBI's taxonomy places the organism in Eukaryota, Metazoa, Chordata, Aves, Galliformes, Phasianidae. The transcript has 5 exons. The record is from RefSeq and is a predicted model, not a curated record.